GGGAUAACACUUGAAAACAGGUGCUAAUACCGCAUAACCAUAGUUACCGCAUGGUAACUAUGUAAAAGGUGGCUAUGCUACCGCUUUUGGAUGGGCCCGCGACGCAUUAGCUAGUUGGUGGGGUAAAGGCUUACCAAGGCAAUGAUGCGUAGCCGAACUGAGAGGUUGAUCGGCCACAUUGGGACUGAGACACGGCCCAAACUCCUACGGGAGGCAGCAGUAGGGAAUCUUCCACAAUGGGCGAAAGCCUGAUGGAGCAACGCCGCGUGGGUGAAGAAGGUCUUCGGAUCGUAAAACCCUGUUGUUAGAGAAGAAAGUGCGUGAGAGUAACUGUUCACGUUUCGACGGUAUCUAACCAGAAAGCCACGGCUAACUACGUGCCAGCAGCCGCGGUAAUACGUAGGUGGCAAGCGUUAUCCGGAUUUAUUGGGCGUAAAGAGAACGCAGGCGGUCUUUUAAGUCUGAUGUGAAAGCCUUCGGCUUAACCGGAGUAGUGCAUUGGAAACUGGGAGACUUGAGUGCAGAAGAGGAGAGUGGAACUCCAUGUGUAGCGGUGAAAUGCGUAGAUAUAUGGAAGAACACCAGUGGCGAAAGCGGCUCUCUGGUCUGUAACUGACGCUGAGGUUCGAAAGCGUGGGUAGCAAACAGGAUUAGAUACCCUGGUAGUCCACGCCGUAAACGAUGAAUGAUAGGUGUUGGAG
This 701-nucleotide ribosomal RNA is filed under the name uncultured bacterium. RNAcentral's name for it is "bacterial SSU rRNA". It matches the Rfam family "Bacterial small subunit ribosomal RNA", at positions 140 to 828 of the family's 1533-position model. The record is from RNAcentral.